RNAcentral lists this ribosomal RNA (2900 nucleotides) under Acinetobacter baumannii. Its description in RNAcentral is "bacterial LSU rRNA". It matches the Rfam family "Bacterial large subunit ribosomal RNA". Lineage: Bacteria; Pseudomonadati; Pseudomonadota; Gammaproteobacteria; Moraxellales; Moraxellaceae. The record is from RNAcentral.
UCAAGUAAUUAAGUGCAUGUGGUGGAUGCCUUGGCAGUCAGAGGCGAUGAAAGACGUGAUAGCCUGCGAAAAGCUCCGGGGAGGCGGCAAAUAUCCUUUGAUCCGGAGAUGUCUGAAUGGGGGAACCCACCUACUUUAAGGUAGGUAUUGCAACAUGAAUACAUAGUGUUGCAAGGCGAACGAGGGGAAGUGAAACAUCUCAGUACCCUUAGGAAAAGAAAUCAAUUGAGAUUCCCUCAGUAGCGGCGAGCGAACGGGGAUCAGCCCAUUAAGUUAUGUGUGUUUUAGUGGAACGCUCUGGGAAGUGCGAACGUAGAGGGUGAUAUUCCCGUACACGAAAGGGCACACAUAAUGAUGACGAGUAGGGCGAGGCACGUGAAACCUUGUCUGAAUAUGGGGGGACCAUCCUCCAAGGCUAAAUACUCCUGACUGACCGAUAGUGAACCAGUACCGUGAGGGAAAGGCGAAAAGAACCCCUGUGAGGGGAGUGAAAUAGAUCCUGAAACCGCAUGCAUACAAGCAGUGGGAGCACCUUCGUGGUGUGACUGCGUACCUUUUGUAUAAUGGGUCAGCGACUUAUAUUCAGUAGCGAGGUUAACCGUAUAGGGGAGCCGUAGAGAAAUCGAGUCUUAAUAGGGCGUUUAGUUGCUGGGUAUAGACCCGAAACCAGGCGAUCUAUCCAUGAGCAGGUUGAAGGUUGGGUAACACUAACUGGAGGACCGAACCCACUGUCGUUGAAAAGCCAGGGGAUGACUUGUGGAUAGGGGUGAAAGGCUAAUCAAGCCUGGUGAUAGCUGGUUCUCCCCGAAAGCUAUUUAGGUAGCGCCUCGGACGAAUACCAUAGGGGGGUAGAGCACUGUUUCGGCUAGGGGGGUCAUCCCGACUUACCAAACCGAUGCAAACUCCGAAUACCUAUGAGUACUAUCCGGGAGACAGACUGCGGGUGCUAACGUCCGUAGUCAAGAGGAAAACAAUCCAGACCGCCAGCUAAGGCCCCAAAAUCAUAGUUAAGUGGGAAACGAUGUGGGAAGGCAUAGACAGCUAGGAGGUUGGCUUAGAAGCAGCCACCCUUUAAAGAAAGCGUAAUAGCUCACUAGUCGAGUCGGCCUGCGCGGAAGAUGUAACGGGGCUAAAACUAUGUGCCGAAGCUGCGGAUGUAUACUUUGUAUACAUUAGUCAAGUGGUAGGGGAGCGUUCUGUAAGCCGAUGAAGGUGUGUUGAGAAGCAUGCUGGAGGUAUCAGAAGUGCGAAUGCUGACGUGAGUAACGACAAAACGGGUGAAAAACCCGUUCGCCGAAAGACCAAGGGUUCCAGUCCAACGUUAAUCGGGGCUGGGUGAGUCGACCCUAAGGCGAGGCCGAAAGGCGUAGUCGAUGGGAAAAUGGUUAAUAUUCCAUUACUUCUGUGUAAUGCGAUGAGAGGACGGAGAAGGCUAAAUCAGCCUGGCGUUGGUUGUCCAGGUGAAAGGAUGUAGGCAUGUAUCUUAGGCAAAUCCGGGGUACUCUAUGCUGAGAUCUGAUAGCAAGCUGUACUUGUACAGCGAAGUGGUUGAUGCCAUGCUUCCAGGAAAAGUCUCUAAGCUUCAGUUACACAGGAAUCGUACCCGAAACCGACACAGGUGGUCAGGUCGAGUAGACCAAGGCGCUUGAGAGAACUCUGCUGAAGGAACUAGGCAAAAUGGUACCGUAACUUCGGGAGAAGGUACGCUGUUGUUGGUGAUGGAACUCGCUUCCUGAGCUGACGACAGCCGCAGAAACCAGGCCGCUGCAACUGUUUAUUAAAAACAUAGCACUCUGCAAACACGAAAGUGGACGUAUAGGGUGUGAUGCCUGCCCGGUGCUGGAAGGUUAAUUGAUGGGGUUAGCGUAAGCGAAGCUCUUGAUCGAAGCCCCAGUAAACGGCGGCCGUAACUAUAACGGUCCUAAGGUAGCGAAAUUCCUUGUCGGGUAAGUUCCGACCUGCACGAAUGGCAUAAUGAUGGCGGCGCUGUCUCCAGCAGAGGCUCAGUGAAAUCGAAAUCGCUGUGAAGAUGCAGUGUACCCGCGGCUAGACGGAAAGACCCCGUGAACCUUUACUGCAGCUUGACACUGAACUUUGACCUUACUUGUGUAGGAUAGGUGGGAGGCUUUGAAGCUGGAACGCUAGUUCCAGUGGAGCCGUCCUUGAAAUACCACCCUGGUAAUGUUGAGGUUCUAACUCUGUCCCGUGAUCCGGGACGAGGACCGUGUCUGGUGGGUAGUUUGACUGGGGCGGUCUCCUCCUAAAGAGUAACGGAGGAGUACGAAGGUGCGCUCAGCGUGGUCGGAAAUCACGCGUAGAGUAUAAAGGCAAAAGCGCGCUUAACUGCGAGACCCACAAGUCGAGCAGGUACGAAAGUAGGUCUUAGUGAUCCGGUGGUUCUGUAUGGAAGGGCCAUCGCUCAACGGAUAAAAGGUACUCUGGGGAUAACAGGCUGAUACCGCCCAAGAGUUCAUAUCGACGGCGGUGUUUGGCACCUCGAUGUCGGCUCAUCUCAUCCUGGGGCUGAAGCAGGUCCCAAGGGUAUGGCUGUUCGCCAUUUAAAGAGGUACGCGAGCUGGGUUUAGAACGUCGUGAGACAGUUCGGUCCCUAUCUACCGUGGGCGCUGGAAAUUUGAGAGGAUCUGCUCCUAGUACGAGAGGACCAGAGUGGACGAACCUCUGGUGUACCGGUUGUGACGCCAGUCGCAUCGCCGGGUAGCUAUGUUCGGAAGGGAUAACCGCUGAAAGCAUCUAAGCGGGAAGCCUACCUCAAGAUAAGAUUUCCCUAGGACUUUAUGUCCUCUAAAGAGCCGUUCGAGACUAGGACGUUGAUAGGUUGGAUGUGGAAGCAUAGUGAUAUGUGAAGCUGACCAAUACUAAUUGCUCGUGAGGCUUGACUA